Molecule: long non-coding RNA, 2396 nt
Organism: Folsomia candida
Lineage: Eukaryota; Metazoa; Arthropoda; Collembola; Entomobryomorpha; Isotomidae
Exons: 5
Source: RefSeq, a predicted model, not a curated record
AGUAAUAAAAUGUGUCAGCUGCAUGGUUACAUUCUUGCAUUGCAUUUACAUAUUAUUUUCUUCAUUCACUUUGCUGUUUACAUAAAACCAAAAUGUGAAAUAAUCAGUAUUUUUAAGACUUUGUCACUAUUUACCUUUUAAUUUGUACUUGAAGUUUUAAUAGUGUAGUGGAAAGACUUAAGAUUUUGUAUAUGGAAUUGGCAAACGCUGGACAUCCUUGUGGCGAAAUAUCGUCCCAAGAAGUCCGGCUGGAUCGUGACCCCAAUAUUGAAUCGCUCCUGUGCAGAGGCACUCCUUUAAAGAAUGACUUUUGCUUCGCUUGUGGAGGGUCCCCCCUCAUCCAGAAAGGUCAAUAGAGUCGACGUCACACGGAGCAGGUCACCCUCUUCAAGGAUCUCCUCAUAUCGCCACCACUUCGAGCUAAAUUAUCCCCCAAGAAGUACAACCUAUUUGUCGCCAAUGUUUCAGCUUGUGAAGACUGCUACAUGCUGAGAUCAGGGGGGUGCGACUACGCCUCAUCUCGACCCAAAACCAUUUGGACCGGCUGGUCGCGAAGGGAAGGGAAACGCUACUAUUAUCCAAAAGAAAACGGAGAAGUAAAUAAUAUUUUCAAAACUUUACCAGGACGAAAUUUCGUCACGGAAUGUAAUGUAUUUGGCCACUAAAUAAAAUUGUGUGCCAAUGGAAUGAGUCAGAGGUCAGUCAGUCACGAAUGAAUCAGUCGACGCCGAAACGCGCCACAGCCUCCGAUAAGUUUGAUUCCCUGUUCUUUCUGCACUGGGACGCCUCGCCGCAGAAAAUCCAAAAUUGGUCGGGGUCGUAAUAAUGGCCUGAAAUAGGCCAUUAUUACAGUAAAAAUGAAAAUCAUCUCAAGAGCCGGUAACGGGAAAAUCAAUCUCUUCUCCCCUAGCUCCCCUCCCCCCAGAAGAAUUUGACUCGUUACCUGACGUACUCAUCAAAGACGAGGUCGAUGACGAUAUUUAUUUUGACGAGGUCAUCUAUCCCACAAAUUUGGAAGAAAUUUACCACAAUCAAGAGAUUCAGCCAAUUAUAGAAACUCGUGAAUCUAUUCCUUCGCAGCACCAAGUUGACCACAAUUCAGAACCGCAAAUUUUAGCACUCGACCAAGACCAAACUAAUUUUGAAGAUUCAAUAAGCAGGAAACACCCACUCGAUUAUUUCUCGUCGUCGGAGCAUCAACCGGAGAAAAUAAAACGUCGAAUAAGACGCAAACCUAAAAUUCAGAUGGGCACAGAUGUUCCUCCUCCACCCGCAAAAUAUCUAUGUUCCAAAUGUGGCAAAGAAUUCAAAACAUCGACAUCCCUGAUUUCGCAUGAAGUCACAGUCUGCAAAAUUUCCUAUGACAAAGUUGACCUGGAGUCAAGGGGGCUCAAAAUGUGACCACUGUGGCACGAAAUUUGUUAGUCACAAAGAUUACGAAAGGCACUAUUUAAGCCACAUCGUUGGUAAACGACAUUCUUGCUCUCACAAUCAGUGUGGAAAAUCCUUUAACCCUUUAAGGCGUAUGAUUAACUACAAGAAAUUGCAUUAAUCCGGGCACAUUAUACAUAUGCUGUGGUCAUGGCGCGGGAGGAGGAAUUCAGCAGUUUUGAUAAAACUCUAAAAAAUGAAUUCUACAAAAUUUAACAUUGCGUUAUAUUCGGAAAUAUCACAUUUUUCCACAAGAAAAUUCUCAAAUUUAACAUUUGGUUGGUAUACGAGAAAUCCCCCAAAAUUGCAGAAAAUUUUACGCCGUAGGGAGAAAUCGUGAAAAUCAAUGACCUCUAAGAAACGACAAUUGUCUUCCUCUCCCACCUUAACCACUAUUUUUCAUGACGACUUCUGUCUUCCUCCCGAAUUAAACCAUUUCCAAGAAAACGACAAUUGUCCUCCAUCCGAAUUAAAGGGUUAAACACAUCUACAAUUUGCGCGUUCAUCAAGAAUCUGCAUGUCGUCAGGCUUCCGACAUUGAUAUCGCUGCGAAGAAUAAACGACUCGAAGUUGGGCGCAUCAUUCGGGCUAAAUAUGUCCCAACUGUUCGCGAAAAUUUCCCUGCGCGACGAACAUGUCGCCAAAGUACACAAUGACACAAAUGGCGAAAAAUUUGCAAUUUGUGCCAUCUGCGGCGUCUCGAUAUCUACGAAGGGCGGUAAUAGUGGAAAUAUGCGAGAACAUAUGAGUCGAGUCCACUUAAGGGUGGCGAGAUGGACCUGUCCCCACUGCAGGAAAGGCUUCUUCCAAAAGAGAGAUUGGGCAAGUCAUGUAAAUCGUGUGCACGGAAAUACAGAUAAAGUGACCUCAACUGCCCAAACUGUAUUUCGAUACAUACACAACCUCAAAUCACGAAUUAUUUACUUUUGCAAAACUUUAGUACAAUAAACUGUAUUCAAAUUAAA